UGCUCUAGGAUGCUGCGGCAGGUUCUGCACAGGGGCUUGAGGACGUGUUUCUCCCGGCUCGGCCACUUCAUUGCCAGUCACCCGGUCUUCUUCGCCUCGGCGCCCGUGCUCAUCUCCAUCCUGCUCGGCGCCAGCUUCAGCCGCUACCAGGUCGAGGAGAGCGUGGAGCACCUGCUGGCGCCCCAGCACAGCCUCGCCAAGAUCGAGCGCAACCUCGUCAACAGCCUCUUCCCGGUCAACCGCUCCAAGCACCGACUCUACUCGGACCUGCAGACCCCCGGGCGCUACGGUCGGGUCAUCGUCACCUCCUUCCAGAAAGCCAACAUGCUGGACCAGCAUCACACCGACCUGAUCUUAAAG
Leptonychotes weddellii (Weddell seal) is the source of this 360-nucleotide non-coding RNA. NCBI's taxonomy places the organism in Eukaryota, Metazoa, Chordata, Mammalia, Carnivora, Phocidae. The record is from RefSeq and is a predicted model, not a curated record.